AGUCGGGUCCUAAGCUGAGGCCGACAGGCGUAGGCGAUGGAUAACAGGUUGAUAUUCCUGUACCACCUAUAAUCGUUUUAAUCGAUGGGGGGACGCAGUAGGAUAGGCGAAGCGUGCGAUUGGAUUGCACGUCUAAGCAGUAAGGCUGAGUAUUAGGCAAAUCCGGUACUCGUUAAGGCUGAGCUGUGAUGGGGAGAAGACAUUGUGUCUUCGAGUCGUUGAUUUCACACUGCCGAGAAAAGCCUCUAGAUAGAAAAUAGGUGCCCGUACCGCAAACCGACACAGGUAGUCAAGAUGAGAAUUCUAAGGUGAGCGAGCGAACUCUCGUUAAGGAACUCGGCAAAAUGACCCCGUAACUUCGGGAGAAGGGGUGCUCUUUAGGGUUAACGCCCAGAAGAGCCGCAGUGAAUAGGCCCAAGCGACUGUUUAUCAAAAACACAGGUCUCUGCUAAACCGUAAGGUGAUGUAUAGGGGCUGACGCCUGCCCGGUGCUGGAAGGUUAAGAGGAGUGGUUAGCUUCUGCGAAGCUACGAAUCGAAGCCCCAGUAAACGGCGGCCGUAACUAUAACGGUCCUAAGGUAGCGAAAUUCCUUGUCGGGUAAGUUCCGACCCGCACGAAAGGCGUAACGAUUUGGGCACUGUCUCAACGAGAGACUCGGUGAAAUCAUAGUACCUGUGAAGAUGCAGGUUACCCGCGACAGGACGGAAAGACCCCGUGGAGCUUUACUGUAGCCUGAUAUUGAAAUUCGGCACAGCUUGUACAGGAUAGGUAGGAGCCUUUGAAACGUGAGCGCUAGCUUACGUGGAGGCGCUGGUGGGAUACUACCCUAGCUGUGUUGGCUUUCUAACCCGCACCACUUAUCGUGGUGGGAGACAGUGUCAGGCGGGCAGUUUGACUGGGGCGGUCGCCUCCUAAAAGGUAACGGAGGCGCUCAAAGGUUCCCUCAGAAUGGUUGGAAAUCAUUCAUAGAGUGUAAAGGCAUAAGGGAGCUUGACUGCGAGACCUACAAGUCGAGCAGGGUCGAAAGACGGACUUAGUGAUCCGGUGGUUCCGCAUGGAAGGGCCAUCGCUCAACGGAUAAAAGCUACCCCGGGGAUAACAGGCUUAUCUCCCCCAAGAGUUCACAUCGACGGGGAGGUUUGGCACCUCGAUGUCGGCUCAUCGCAUCCUGGGGCUGUAGUCGGUCCCAAGGGUUGGGCUGUUCGCCCAUUAAAGCGGUACGCGAGCUGGGUUCAGAACGUCGUGAGACAGUUCGGUCCCUAUCCGUCGUGGGCGUAGGAAAUUUGAGAGGAGCUGUCCUUAGUACGAGAGGACCGGGAUGGACAUACCUCUGGUGUACCAGUUGUCGUGCCAACGGCAUAGCUGGGUAGCUAUGUGUGGACGGGAUAAGUGCUGAAAGCAUCUAAGCAUGAAGCCCCCCUCAAGAUGAGAUUUCCCAACUUCGGUUAUAAGAUCCCUCAAAGAUGAUGAGGUUAAUAGGUUCGAGGUGGAAGCAUGGUGACAUGUGGAGCUGACGAAUACUAAUCGAUCGAAGACUUAAUCAA
This 1545-nucleotide ribosomal RNA is filed under the name Staphylococcus aureus. RNAcentral describes it as "partial 23S ribosomal RNA". It matches the Rfam family "Bacterial large subunit ribosomal RNA", at positions 1382 to 2925 of the family's 2925-position model. Lineage: Bacteria; Bacillati; Bacillota; Bacilli; Caryophanales; Staphylococcaceae. The record is from RNAcentral.